Molecule: ribosomal RNA, 1429 nt
Filed under: metagenome
Description: bacterial LSU rRNA
Rfam family: Bacterial large subunit ribosomal RNA
Source: RNAcentral
CACGUGUGGAGAGCACAAGCCGGGAAUGGAAAGCCCGGCACAAGCGAGGUAGGAGUCUGGCUGGCAAAUCCGUCAGGCAAUCCGAAGACGUGAUGCGUACCGAAUUAAGAGUAGGGAAGAGUGUGAGCCAUGCGUCAAGAAAAGCCGCUAUUGUUUGUAUCGCGCCCGUACCGUAAACCGACACAGGUGGAUGGGGAGAGAAUCCUAAGGCCGACGGGAGAAGCAUUGUUAAGGAACUCGGCGAAAUGACUCCGUAACUUCGGGAGAAGGAGUGCCACUGAGAGGUGGCCGCAGAGAAUUGGCCCAAGCAACUGUUUAGCAAAAACACAGGUCUAUGCAAAACCGAAAGGUGAAGUAUAUGGGCUGACGCCUGCCCGGUGCUGGAAGGUUAAGGGGAGAGGUUAGCGCAAGCGAAGCUUUGAACUUAAGCCCCAGUAAACGGCGGCCGUAACCAUAACGGUCCUAAGGUAGCGAAAUUCCUUGUCGGGUAAGUUCCGACCCGCACGAAAGGCGUAAUGAUUUGGGCACUGUCUCAACAAUGCACCCGGUGAAAUUGAAAUACCAGUGAGGAUGCUGGUUACCUGCGCCAGGACGGAAAGACCCCAUGGAGCUUUACUCCAGCUUGAUACUGGGAUUCGGUAUUGCAUGUACAGGAUAGGUGGGAGGCUAAGAAGCGGUAACGCCAGUUGCCGUGGAGCUGCUGUUGGGAUACCACCCUUGCAGUACUGGGUUUCUAACCAGCGGCCUUAAACAGGUCGGGGGACAAUGUCAGGUGGGGAGUUUGACUGGGGCGGUCGCCUCCGAAAGGGUAUCGGAGGCGCUCAAGGUUCCCUCAGAAUGGUCGGAAACCAUUCGAAGAGUGCAAAGGCAGAAGGGAGCUUGACUGCGACACCGACGGGUGGAGCAGGUACGAAAGUAGGACUUAGUGAUCCGGUGGUAUAAAGUGGGAUUGCCAUCGCUCAACGGAUAAAAGCUACCCUGGGAUAACAGGCUUAUCACUCCCAAGAGUUCACAUCGACGGAGUGGUUUGGCACCUCGAUGUCGGCUCAUCGCAUCCUGGGGCUGAAGUAGGUCCCAAGGGUUGGGCUGUUCGCCCAUUAAAGCGGUACGCGAGCUGGGUUCAGAACGUCGUGAGACAGUUCGGUCCCUAUCCGGCGUGGGCGUAGGAUAUUUGAGAGGAGCUGUCCUUAGUACGAGAGGACCGGGAUGGACUGGCCGCUGGUUGAUCUGUUGUUCCGCCAGGAGCAUAGCAGAGUAGCCAAGCCGGGACGGGAUAAACGCUGAAGGCAUCUGAGCGUGAAGCCCCCCUCAAGAUAGAUAUCCCAACGAAAGUUGUAAGACCCCUUGAAGACGACGAGGUAGAUAGGACAGAGGUGGAAGUGUGGUAACACAUGGAGCUGACUGUUACUAAUAGGUCGAGGGCAUAACC